GAACAUCUUGGCCAUGUUCUGUUAUAAUCUCCACCCGGCACAGCCAGAAGAGGACUGGCCACCCCUCAUAUCCUGGUUCCUCUCUAGGCUUCUUCCAAGGUUUUGGCCUUUCUAGGGAGUUUUUCCUAGCCACCAUGCUUCUACACCUGCAUUACUUGCUGUUUGGGGUUUUAGGCUAGGUUUCUGUACAGCACUUUGAGAUAUCAGCUGAUGUAAGAAGGGCUAUAUAAAUACAUUUGAUUUGAAGUUUUGAUUUGAUAAACCGAGUGUAGCAGCAGCGUAAAAGAGGGUGUGGGGGGAAGUCGAGGUAGCCAAUGUUCAGGAGGCUAAUUGAGGUAAUAUGUUCCUGAGUGUAUAGUUAAAGUGGCAUCUACUCACCACCGCUCAUGCUGUAAACACAGUCCAGUUCAAAGUAAAUAGCACAGAUCCAUAUAUGGAAAUGGUCUAUUUGCAUAUAGGCCUACUGCAGCUCUGAUUUGUUUAUGCCACACCGGUCUAUGUAAAGUAUUUGCUGAGUAGUGUGUGUCAAUGAAAUAGAAUUCUACUCAGAUGCGUUCUGCCUACAACAAAAUCUCUUGCGUCGUUUGUUUUGUUUCGGAAUGUUGCAUUGAAAGUGGCUAUUUGAUUCGAUCCCAAUUGCCACAGUAAAGGGAAAUGUUGAUAGUGUUAACAAGGAAAACUCUAGAACAGUGGUCACCAACCUUUCAAGUGUACUUUGAGUCAAAAUGCAAGCUGAGAUCUACCGCUCAGAUAGUUUUUUUAACAUGACUUACGUAUGCAAUAAUUACAUUUUUAACAUGACUUACAUAUGCAACAUUAACCAAUUAAAAACAGUACUGUAGAAAUGAGGUUUGUGCAGUAAGCUAUAGGCCCAAUACAUUAUCACUGCAUAUUGGUGUUGCUUGAAUUGCCCUGCCAAUGAAUGCAUUGUUGUUCGCCGCAUUUUUUAAAAUAGGCUACAUGGUCACACCAGUAAUGGAUGCAUUUUUAUUUUACUUGGCUCAUGGUGCCUGCAUCUGAUGGUCAGUCUCAGUAGACUGAGGGUCCGCCUCUCAACAUCACGCCACUCUCCCUUUCCUCCACUGACCAAAAAGGGACACUGCCUUCCAGCUGAUGGUAAAACUCGAGUCGCACCACAUUAUUUCUGCCUCAUGCAAAUAUUCAUGUUACUCCUAUGAACAGAGAAAGUAAAAUAUUCCUCGAUAUUAAAGACCCAAGCCGCUAAUAAUAACAACUCAAGCCUAUCGAUACACUUUCCUACUCAUUCAUUACUGCUGCUGUGCUAGUUGUAGCGCUGAGUGGAAAUAGGAAGAAAGCACAUUUUAUGGCUUAUAAAAGUGUUGAAUACAAAGUCUUGACAGUGCUGAGUAAGAACUUAAACAUGAAUUCACUCAUAAAAACAGCAUCUCUUUGCCAUUUUGAACCAUUUCAUGUGUCUGAAGGUACAAACUCUGCCUUCCCGGCGGGCCCAGAGAGCUGCAGACACAGUCAUCUGAGCAGUAGGCCUAUAGUGCAUUUGAUUUGCUCUCUGGGCCCAUCGGAGAAGGCAGAGUUUGCUUCUCUCUGCCUGCUCCCAGAGGCAGUUUGGAACUCGGUAGUGAGUGUUGCAACCCAGGACAGACAAUUUUUACGCACUUCAGCACUCGGCAGUCCCAUUCUGUGAGCUUGUACCACUUCGCGGCUGCGCUGUUGUUGCUCUUAGUUAUUUCCACUUCACAAUAACAGCACUUACAGUUGACCGGGGCAGCUUUAGCAGGGCAGAAAUUUAACGAACUGACUUUUUGGAAAGGUGGCAUCCUAUGACGGCGCCACAUGGGCACUGUGAAUGUUAGCCUAUGGCGAUUGCAUGGCUUUGUGCUCGAUUUUAUACACCUGUCAGCAACGGGUGUGGCUGAAAUAGACAUCAUUAAGGUUUUCGGACCAUUAUUUCAAGUGAAAAACAUGAAUAAAUGCGUGGUCUCAAAUAUUAAACAUUUAAGGUUAAGUUACAUUAUAAUAAAUAUCUUUGUUUUUUCACUGGAUGACCCCUCAUUUUGAAUGACUUAAAAAUGUCGGGAAAAGGGGAGAUGGUUUGUUAAAGAAGAUUGGUAGAAAGACUAAGCAGAGUGAGCUGUACGUCCUCAUUCACUUCCAUUUCUGUUGUGUUCGAUCCAACGAAGUAUCAGAGGGGGUAGGUGUGGUGAACCCACGCCAUCUGAUGCCCCGUGGGGUUCACCACACGCCAUGGUGAUUUGUUUGAAUCCGUAACUAUGUGGCAGAGUGCGAAGUAGGUACAUGUCCUUCUUGUUUCUGUAUUGGGUGACGGGACCAUAGCUCAUUAUGUGGAGUGUCAUGAUUUGUGGAUUUUUGUUCAUGACAUCUCUUAGGACAGACUCCAGGUGAGCCCAUACUGCUCUCUCAUCAUGUCUAAGCGAGUCAGAUAUGGUGGCGUAGGACUGGCUUCCUUCCGAUCGCAGUAAUCUGUAUCCUGACGAUAAAGGCAUCUGCAAAUUGACCCUCAAUUAAUAUAGAUAGGUUAGUAGUUGUUUACAUAAACUUAUUUUCAGUAUUAGCUGCUUGAUGUGCUAUACUAUAAAAAAAAUGUUUGACAUAAAACACCCUUAUCCUACAAAAACUUGUAGAUGAAUAGAUAACUUAAUACAAAGACAAAUAUAUUGACACCAUUCAGUAGAACCAUUUAGUCAUUUAAUUUUUUAAAAUUUAACUAGGCAAGUCGGUGAAGAACAAAUUCUUAUUUACAAUGACGGCCGAGGAACAGUGGGUUAACUGCCUUGUUCAGGGGCAAAAUUACAGAUUUUUACCUUGUCAGCUCAGGGAUUUGAUCAAGCAACAUCUUGGUUACUGGCCCAACGCUCUAACCGCGAGGCUACCUGCCGCCCCCGUCAUAGGGUGUAACCGGAAUUUCUGAUGACUCCGAAUGCUUACCUUAGUUCCACCGUGUGUACCCAUGUGAACACUUGACUUUGACAUCAAGUAAUUUCUAAACGUUGAAAAGGAUAAGUAUGAAAAUACCCGUAAAUAAGUAUAGAGCCGGGAAUUUAAAGUUAGAGCGAAAUUUCGUAUAGAGACAAAUUUAAAGUUUAGCUUCACUGUCCAGAUAAAUACGUAGAGGAGUAUAGGCCCGGAUUCAAUACAAGGUGUUAUAGAGCAGCAUAAUAUAACAAACUUCUAAUAGUAAAUUACGCUUGAGCCGACAUGUGUAGCGCUAACAAUUAAUGCAGUCUCUGCGAACGUCAGGGGAAAAUGCCUUUUUAAAGGCGCAUUGUUGGCUGUUUAGUGCGCUACACUAUAACGCAACUUUCAUUGAAUCCCAGCCAUCAGCGAUGUAGUGGUAAAAAAAAUAGUUGGGUAAACGCUGAUUGGCGUUUGCGGUAAGUAAACACUCCCUUUACUUUGAAUGCAUUUUCCUGCUAAAGGUGGGUAAAUGCUCACACAAAUUGAAUAAAAAGGUUUGUAAACUGCCAGCCAUAGAUUACUACACACGUUGAUCAGUAGCUUAGCCGUUAUAUUGCACCUGGUAUUGAUCCCCUGUUCCCUCCCAGAUGAAGACUUGUUCCAUGUGUGAGAACAGAACGGGCUACUGCUCUAGAGCAUGACCCCUCUCCCAGUGCUAGCUGGGAAGGAGGUCAAAAGCACGGCCGACCACGUCCUUGAGACGUUCUACCCCAUCUCUCCCACCAUCGAACUGCAGUGUGUCCAGGUCUACCAGGAGCAGAACCGUAAGAUUCCUCCAGGUCUGUCGGGGUACAAGUCUAAAACGUUCCAGAGGUUCCUGUCCCUAUAUCUGAAUGGAGCUGUGUGAGCUGCAAAAAUCAGCGCCUAAACAACAACAAUAACCUUCCCAUUUCUACUGUCAAUACUGUCAUAUCUGAAAAUAAAGAGACCCUAGAUAAUCUA
Long non-coding RNA from Salmo salar (Atlantic salmon), 3897 nucleotides. RefSeq lists it as uncharacterized. Lineage: Eukaryota; Metazoa; Chordata; Actinopteri; Salmoniformes; Salmonidae. The record is from RefSeq and is a predicted model, not a curated record.